This 467-nucleotide ribosomal RNA is filed under the name uncultured bacterium. Its description in RNAcentral is "partial 16S ribosomal RNA". It matches the Rfam family "Bacterial small subunit ribosomal RNA", at positions 28 to 507 of the family's 1533-position model. The record is from RNAcentral.
GAUGAACGCUGGCGGCGUGCUUAAUACAUGCAAGUCGAACGGAAAGGCCUCUUUCGUGGGGUACUCGUGUUGCGAACGGGUGAGUAACUCGUGAGUAGCUUGCCUUUCUCUUUGGGUUAACUUCAUGCAACUGGGGCUAAUACCUACUAGGUGCUCUUUUUGCCUGGUUGGGUUUGGAAAGUUUCGGCGGUUGGGGGUCGAUUCGCGGGUUAUCCGCUUGUUGUUGGGGUAUUGGUUUACCAAGGCCUUGACGGGUAGCCGGCCUGUGAGGGUGAUCGACCACAUUGGGACUGAGAGAAGGCACAGACUGCUACGGGAGGCAGCAGUGGGGAAGAUUGCACAAUGGGUGGAAGCCUGAUGAAGCAACGCCGUGUGCGGGAUGACGGCCUUCGGGGUGUAAACCGCUUUCGCACAUGACGAAGCUUUGUGUGACGGUAGUGGAUAAAGAAGCACCGGCUAACUACGUG